Molecule: non-coding RNA, 571 nt
Organism: Tachysurus fulvidraco (yellow catfish)
Lineage: Eukaryota; Metazoa; Chordata; Actinopteri; Siluriformes; Bagridae
Source: the annotation of a RefSeq genome assembly
CUCAACACAGCCUCUCUGUAAUGUUUAUGCAAAUCUGCAUCUCCUCUUGUAAUAUUAGCAGCGUUCUGAUCUAGAGAGGAAACACUUCUCAUUACUCUUCCUUCAACACAAACAUGUUUGCUUCAGCUCCACUGCUGCUGCUGGCUCUCGCCCCCUAUGUGUUCUGUGCUACUGAGCUCAUCCAGCCAGACUCACUGCUUAUAAAGCCAGGAGAGACUUUAACCAUCACCUGUAAAGUGUCUGGAGCUUCUAUCACUGAUAGCAGCAGCCACUAUGGAACAGCUUGGAUUCGGCAACCUGCAGGAAAAGCUUUAGAAUGGAUCAAUUUAAUUGACUACGAUGGAGAUAUUUAUGAGAAAGAUUCACUUAAAGAAAAGUUUGUGGUCUCUCGAGACACUUCCAGUAACUCUGUGACCUUACGGGGACAGAACAUGCAGACUGAAGACACAGCUGUGUAUUACUGCGCUCGAAGACCACACAGUGACACGACAAGCUGCAGUGCUGCACAAAAACCUCAUCACAAUUUACUUCCUCAAUUACUGUAAAUAACAACUACAUUUUACUGAGUAAC